GUGGGGAAUUUUGGACAAUGGGCGCAAGCCUGAUCCAGCAAUGCCGCGUGCAGGAAGAAGGCCUUCGGGUUGUAAACUGCUUUUGUACGGAACGAAACGGUCCUGGUUAAUACCUGGGGCUAAUGACGGUACCGUAAGAAUAAGCACCGGCUAACUACGUGCCAGCAGCCGCGGUAAUACGUAGGGUGCGAGCGUUAAUCGGAAUUACUGGGCGUAAAGCGUGCGCAGGCGGUGCUGUAAGACAGGCGUGAAAUCCCCGGGCUCAACCUGGGAAUUGCGCUUGUGACUGCAGUGCUGGAGUACGGCAGAGGGGGAUGGAAUUCCGCGUGUAGCAGUGAAAUGCGUAGAUAUGCGGAGGAACACCGAUGGCGAAGGCAGUCCCCUGGGCCUGUACUGACGCUCAUUCACGAAAGCGUGGGGAGCAAACAGGAUUAGAUACCCUUGUAGUCC
This 450-nucleotide ribosomal RNA is filed under the name uncultured bacterium. Its description in RNAcentral is "partial 16S ribosomal RNA". It matches the Rfam family "Bacterial small subunit ribosomal RNA", at positions 354 to 796 of the family's 1533-position model. The record is from RNAcentral.